ACGGAAGGCAGCAGCUAAGAAUACUCCGCAAUGGACGAAAGUCUGACGGAGCGACGCCGCGUGGAUGAUGAAGGCCGGAAGGUUGUAAAAUCCUUUUAUGACUGAGGAAUGAGCAGAAUGAGAGAAACGUUUUGUGGUGACUGUAGGUCAUGAAUAAGCAACGGCUAAUUACGUGCCAGCAGCCGCGGUAACACGUAAGUUGCGAGCGUUGUUCGGAAUUAUUGGGCGUAAAGGGCAUGUAGGCGGUUUUGCAAGCUUGGUGUGAAAUCCCGGAGCUUAACUCCGGAAUUGCGUUGAGAACUGCAUAACUAGAGUCACUGAGGGGCAAUCAGAAUUCCUGGUGUAGGGGUGAAAUCUGUAGAUAUCAGGAAGAAUACCAAUGGCGAAGGCAGGUUACCAGCAGAUGACUGACGCUGAGGUGCGAAGGUGCGGGGAGCAAACAGGAUUAGAUACCCUGGUA
Molecule: ribosomal RNA, 460 nt
Filed under: uncultured Treponema sp.
Lineage: Bacteria; Pseudomonadati; Spirochaetota; Spirochaetia; Treponematales; Treponemataceae
Description: partial 16S ribosomal RNA
Rfam family: Bacterial small subunit ribosomal RNA
Source: RNAcentral